RNAcentral lists this ribosomal RNA (1419 nucleotides) under Lactiplantibacillus plantarum. Its description in RNAcentral is "bacterial SSU rRNA". It matches the Rfam family "Bacterial small subunit ribosomal RNA". Lineage: Bacteria; Bacillati; Bacillota; Bacilli; Lactobacillales; Lactobacillaceae. The record is from RNAcentral.
CUCUGGUAUUGAUUGGUGCUUGCAUCAUGAUUUACAUUUGAUUGAGUGGCGAACUGGUGAGUAACACGUGGGAAACCUGCCCAGAAGCGGGGGAUAACACCUGGAAACAGAUGCUAAUACCGCAUAACAACUUGGACCGCAUGGUCCGAGUUUGAAAGAUGGCUUCGGCUAUCACUUUUGGAUGGUCCCGCGGCGUAUUAGCUAGAUGGUGGGGUAACGGCUCACCAUGGCAAUGAUACGUAGCCGACCUGAGAGGGUAAUCGGCCACAUUGGGACUGAGACACGGCCCAAACUCCUACGGGAGGCAGCAGUAGGGAAUCUUCCACAAUGGACGAAAGUCUGAUGGAGCAACGCCGCGUGAGUGAAGAAGGGUUUCGGCUCGUAAAACUCUGUUGUUAAAGAAGAACAUAUCUGAGAGUAACUGUUCAGGUAUUGACGGUAUUUAACCAGAAAGCCACGGCUAACUACGUGCCAGCAGCCGCGGUAAUACGUAGGUGGCAAGCGUUGUCCGGAUUUAUUGGGCGUAAAGCGAGCGCAGGCGGUUUUUUAAGUCUGAUGUGAAAGCCUUCGGCUCAACCGAAGAAGUGCAUCGGAAACUGGGAAACUUGAGUGCAGAAGAGGACAGUGGAACUCCAUGUGUAGCGGUGAAAUGCGUAGAUAUAUGGAAGAACACCAGUGGCGAAGGCGGCUGUCUGGUCUGUAACUGACGCUGAGGCUCGAAAGUAUGGGUAGCAAACAGGAUUAGAUACCCUGGUAGUCCAUACCGUAAACGAUGAAUGCUAAGUGUUGGAGGGUUUCCGCCCUUCAGUGCUGCAGCUAACGCAUUAAGCAUUCCGCCUGGGGAGUACGGCCGCAAGGCUGAAACUCAAAGGAAUUGACGGGGGCCCGCACAAGCGGUGGAGCAUGUGGUUUAAUUCGAAGCUACGCGAAGAACCUUACCAGGUCUUGACAUACUAUGCAAAUCUAAGAGAUUAGACGUUCCCUUCGGGGACAUGGAUACAGGUGGUGCAUGGUUGUCGUCAGCUCGUGUCGUGAGAUGUUGGGUUAAGUCCCGCAACGAGCGCAACCCUUAUUAUCAGUUGCCAGCAUUAAGUUGGGCACUCUGGUGAGACUGCCGGUGACAAACCGGAGGAAGGUGGGGAUGACGUCAAAUCAUCAUGCCCCUUAUGACCUGGGCUACACACGUGCUACAAUGGAUGGUACAACGAGUUGCGAACUCGCGAGAGUAAGCUAAUCUCUUAAAGCCAUUCUCAGUUCGGAUUGUAGGCUGCAACUCGCCUACAUGAAGUCGGAAUCGCUAGUAAUCGCGGAUCAGCAUGCCGCGGUGAAUACGUUCCCGGGCCUUGUACACACCGCCCGUCACACCAUGAGAGUUUGUAACACCCAAAGUCGGUGGGGUAACCUUUUAGGAACCAGCCG